UUAAUAUAAGCAAUCCAUCUCAACAUUGCAAUAUCUGGCGUUGAACAGUUAAUAAUCAUUCCAAGUAAUGGCAAGCAAUCUGUUUCAAUUACUACUACUGCCCCAAUCAAAUAGUCCUUUUCAGCUUUCAUAGCCGAAACGACUCCCCAAAAUUCUCUUUUGACUUGCAAAUAUGCACGCUGACGAAUACUUAAAACUUUAGCCCCAAA
RNAcentral lists this long non-coding RNA (209 nucleotides) under Physcomitrium patens. RNAcentral describes it as "long non-coding RNA (PPAT_LNC009222)". Lineage: Eukaryota; Viridiplantae; Streptophyta; Bryopsida; Funariales; Funariaceae. The record is from RNAcentral.